Manihot esculenta (cassava) is the source of this 675-nucleotide long non-coding RNA. RefSeq lists it as uncharacterized. NCBI's taxonomy places the organism in Eukaryota, Viridiplantae, Streptophyta, Magnoliopsida, Malpighiales, Euphorbiaceae. The transcript is spliced from 2 exons. The record is from RefSeq and is a predicted model, not a curated record.
GAUGCAGAAAAUUGAGGAGUAAGCAUCAAGGCAAUUCGCGUUUAACUCUCCCUCAAGGGCUUCAGCUAGCCAACGUCCCUUUGCAUUCUCUUUCAUGAGACUGGCGAUGAUGCACAGAGGAACGUGUUAAAGUUGAAUCCCGGCGGGGGGAGUUGGACGCGACCUGCCUUAACGAUCUCUGCUUGUAAACUUUCCCCUCAUGAAGAAACUACAGGUGCUCAAGCUAAAUGAGGGUACAGUUUCAAGAAGGGAAAAUUUGUUCGUGUGAAGAAAAGUGAUGAUGAAGAUGAUGAUGGAGAUCAUGGAAUAGAAGCAAAGGGUUUGCUCUCAAAGGAAAUUCAGAGAUGGAAGAAGCAACAAGAGACGUUAACUGCUCAAGCAGAAGAUGCUUCAUCUUUCUGCAGUAAGCCCUCGAAAUGCAAUCGUCGAUGAUCAUUUUUCCCAUGUAUUGUUGUAAUUUGCAGGCCUGUAUUGGUGUGUUUUUGCUUUUUCUAAUGAAUAAUGAUCGAUCGGCCUGCUCUGUUAAACGAUGGGAAAGAGAAACACAAGUAGACCCAGAAAAUUUCUGAGUGUUUUGUGUGUUUUUUUUCUUCUUGGAUUUUGACUGAUUUUAAUUGAUUUACUCUUAAUAUUGUUCCUUUUUUUUGUUAUAAAUAAGAUUAAAUUAGUUAUUGC